AUAAACCAGUCUACUUGUUACCUGAAGGGCGUGGUUAUAUUGGGGCCAGUGAAUCUGCCGUUUACUCACCUUGUUCGUAACAACGCUCACCUGCUCUCACUUUGUCUCUUUCCCAUUGCUCUCACACACAAAAACACGUCCCAGAGAGGAGAAACUACCAAGAGAGAAGAAUCAUGUCGGUGGAAGUCCACAUAGAAUAUUGUAGUGGAUGAGGGUACGAGUCUCGCUAUCAGGACCUAGCAUCUGCCAUCAAGUGGAACGUUCCUGAUGUGACGGUGACGGGAACCACGGGGCGGCGCUCCAGUUUCGAGGUAACAGUGAAUGGUAAACUGGCCUACUCUAAACUGGAGGCAGGAGGAUUCCCAGACACCAAGGAGAUGGUGGCGAUGGUGAAGGAGGUGAGCCGUGGAGGAAAGGUAGAGAAAGUGAAGAAGAAGGAUAAUAAGUGUUUUCUCCAAUAGAUGAGUGGUUAUUGAGAGAAGGAGAGUGUUUUUUUAAGAUCCUGGGUCCUGAACUGAUUCUAUUAAUGAUUGUUCACAAUGAAACUAGGGAUGUGAACAUGAUGAAGUCUACAGUCAUUUCAACUCUGUGAUCUGAGGGAAAUACUCUCAUCCUGUGUCUCUGUGUUACACUGUCAUGUCUUAUGUUAUUCCUUGUCUGUUUUUCUUUCCUUAUACAGACCAAGAUAUGACUUGCAUUUAGUUUUACAUUCUAGAAAUAUUGUACUCGAUGAAGACCUCUGCAGUUGUAUAGGCUGUACGUGUAUUUUUAAAUGAUCAAAUCUAUUCUAGGAAUCAAUUAGUAUUGAGUUUGUGUGUUGGGAGGGUGCUGUUGGACAUUUACAAUAAUGCUGUUGGACAUUUACAAUAAGGCUGUUGGACAUUUACAAUAAUGCUGUUGGACAUUUACAAUAAGGCUGUUGGACAUUUACAAUAAGGCUGUUGGACAUUUACAAUAAGGCUGUUGGACAUUUA
Oncorhynchus kisutch (coho salmon) is the source of this 974-nucleotide long non-coding RNA. RefSeq lists it as uncharacterized. The record is from RefSeq and is a predicted model, not a curated record. NCBI's taxonomy places the organism in Eukaryota, Metazoa, Chordata, Actinopteri, Salmoniformes, Salmonidae. The transcript has 4 exons.